UUUGUACUCCUCGCGUUUCGC
RNAcentral lists this microRNA (21 nucleotides) under Pristionchus pacificus. RNAcentral's name for it is "ppc-miR-8344-3p". The record is from miRBase by way of RNAcentral. Lineage: Eukaryota; Metazoa; Nematoda; Chromadorea; Rhabditida; Neodiplogasteridae.